ACUCAGCAAGCUUAUCAUUUUCAGCUCCCAAAUUUCGUACUCCAUCCUUUCUCCAUGGAAGAUCAUCAACCAAAUUUCAAAGGAGCAUAACUUCUUCGUUUCUCAACGAAAUUGGACGAUUCUUGUGGCCACGGAACGAGAAGAAGGAGAGCUACUGAUCUAGCCCUAUUGUUCAAGGUGUUCUUGAGUUGAAUUGAAGCAAAGUUGAUGGUGAAUUUGAGCUUGAAGUGUUUGGCCAUGAUCAACAAUCCAAGACUCGACGAAGCGACUAUCGACAAGGCUUGAGGGGAACGGAUCGAGAUGUCUUCGUGUUUAUUUAAAGAUUAUGGAUAGCAAGUGGGAUAGCAUGAUAUUAUUUGGAAAGUCAAGCUUCCGAAGUUUUAAUUCUCGGAAGUCAUUUGCACAAGAAGUGAAAGAAGGUUUUCAUUCUAGCAGUCCGCAGUAGUCUAGAUGUUUUUGUCUAUGUAUUUGACUGGCGCAUUUUAACUCUGAUAUUUUUGUAAAAUGGGGUCACAUGUAUUUUG
Molecule: long non-coding RNA, 524 nt
Organism: Mercurialis annua (annual mercury)
Lineage: Eukaryota; Viridiplantae; Streptophyta; Magnoliopsida; Malpighiales; Euphorbiaceae
Exons: 4
Source: RefSeq, a predicted model, not a curated record